GAGGAGCAGUAGGGAAUCUUCCGCAAUGGACGAAAGUCUGACGGAGCAACGCCGCGUGAGUGAUGAAGGCUUUCGGGUCGUAAAACUCUGUUGUUAGGGAAGAACAAGUACGAGAGUAACUGCUCGUACCUUGACGGUACCUAACCAGAAAGCCACGGCUAACUACGUGCCAGCAGCCGCGGUAAUACGUAGGUGGCAAGCGUUAUCCGGAAUUAUUGGGCGUAAAGCGCGCGCAGGCGGUUUCUUAAGUCUGAUGUGAAAGCCCACGGCUCAACCGUGGAGGGUCAUUGGAAACUGGGGAACUUGAGUGCAGAAGAGAAAAGCGGAAUUCCACGUGUAGCGGUGAAAUGCGUAGAGAUGUGGAGGAACACCAGUGGCGAAGGCGGCUUUUUGGUCUGUAACUGACGCUGAGGCGCGAAAGCGUGGGGAGCAAACAGGAUUAGAUACCCUGGUAGUCCACGCCGUAAACGAUGAGUGCUAAGUGUUAGAGGGUUUCCGCCCUUUAGUGCUGCAGCUAACGCAUUAAGCACUCCGCCUGGGAGACGCCG
Molecule: ribosomal RNA, 548 nt
Filed under: Priestia megaterium
Lineage: Bacteria; Bacillati; Bacillota; Bacilli; Caryophanales; Bacillaceae
Description: bacterial SSU rRNA
Rfam family: Bacterial small subunit ribosomal RNA
Source: RNAcentral